AGUAGCGGUGAAAUGCGUAGAUAUCUGGAGGAAUACCAAAGGCGAAGGCAGUCCCCUGGUCCGAUACUGACACUGAGGUACGAAAGCGUGGGGAGCAAACAGGAUUAGAUACCCUGGUAGUCCACGCCCUAAACGAUGUCGAUUAGCCAUUGGAAGGACCCCUUUUCCUUUCAGUGACGUAGCUAACGCGUUAAAUCGACCGCCUGGGAAGUACGACCGCAAGGUUAAAACUCAAAGGAAUUGACGGGGACCUGAACAAGCGGUGAAUGAUGUGGAUUAAUUCGAUGCUACGCGAAGAACCUUACCUACCUUUGACAUGGCCAAAGUUCUACCGAGAGGCGGAAGUACUCGUAAGAGGAUCGGCGCACAGGUGCUGCAUGGUUGUCGUCAGUUCGUGUCGUGAGAUGUUGGGUUCAGUCCCGCAACGAACGCAACCCUUAUCUUUAAUUGCUCCUAUUUUAACAGGCACUUUAAAGAAACUGCCAAUGAUAAGUUGGAGGAAGGUGGGGAUCACGUCAAGUCCGCAUGGCCUUUAUAGGUAGGGCUUCACACGUCAUACAAUGGUUAGAACAAAGAGCUGCAAAUUCGUAAGAAGGAGCCAAUCUCACAAACCUAACCUCAGUUCGAAUUGCGGUCUGCAACUCGAGCGCAUGAAGCCGGAAUCGCUAGUAAUCGUGGAUCAGAAUGCCA
Molecule: ribosomal RNA, 690 nt
Filed under: uncultured Candidatus Tremblayella sp.
Lineage: Bacteria; Pseudomonadati; Pseudomonadota; Betaproteobacteria
Description: bacterial SSU rRNA
Rfam family: Bacterial small subunit ribosomal RNA
Source: RNAcentral